Molecule: long non-coding RNA, 1273 nt
Organism: Lactuca sativa (garden lettuce)
Lineage: Eukaryota; Viridiplantae; Streptophyta; Magnoliopsida; Asterales; Asteraceae
Source: RefSeq, a predicted model, not a curated record
CGUUAGCCCAUCAGUCCAGUCCAGUACUACAAAAACUAAAGACUGAAGUUACGACGCCUCUACCCUCUUUCUUUCGCUCGGUUGCCCUCCUUAACACCUCCUACCAAAUCGACGAAUCGGUUUUCAGACAAAAUUCAAGCUCGAUUUAGAACGAGAUGUGAAGCUUUUAGGGUUAUAAAAUUUUAAUGAUGUUAUCGAAAACAUCAUCGUGAGGCAAUCGAUCCUGAUUAGGUCCCUUUGACCUUUCUAUUUCUUGUACAUCAUACUGAUCCCUCCCAGCCGUCACCGACUUGAAUCUCACGGCCUCAUCGGAGUCCUGAAGUGACUUAACGAUCCGUUGACCGAAGACGAAUAUAUCUCACCUAACACGUCACCUGGUGGCCUUUGUCAGUUUGUUUCGUGUAAGGGAUUUGAGUUUUGAUUUGGUUUGAAGAUGAGGGAUCGCAAAUAUUAUCCGGGUACCAACUUCUAUGUGGAUCCCAGAUAUUCGGAUGUAUACUCAUUUGGUAUGACACAGGACAACUCUCUAUACAUUGGAAAGCAAUGAGAUGAUUUCCAAAUAUGCUACCAAUGGAAGCCUUGACCCUCAUCUUUGAUGUUUGUUUAAACAUUAACCGGUUUAAUGGUUAAUGUGAUGAAGGCGUUGAGAUGAUUAUAGUUUAUGAGGAUGCUGUUAAUAGAAGCCUUGACUAUCAUCUUUAAUGUUGGCAAAACCAUAUAGGUGUGGUCAUUACUUUCAUUGGUUAUUGUGAUGAAGGCAAUGAGAUGAUUAUAGUCUACGAGUAUGCUAGCAAUUGUAGCCUUGAUGAUCAUUUCAAGACUCCUGUAAAAGUUCAACAUGGAUACAACGUCUCAAGAUUUACUAAGUGUAGCAAGCGGGCUCAACUAUAUGAUUAUCUUCAGUUGAGAGAAGGAUAACAAAGUAAUACACAGAGACAUCAAGAGUCAAGAGUGCUAACAUAUUGUUAGAUGAAAAUCUAGAAGGAAAAAUUAUGAUUUCAUUCAUUCAAAACAAUGCCCCAAACGCCAACAACGUAACACAACAUGUCUAUAUAAAUAUCGUUUUUAAAGAGUCAGAUGUAUACUCCUUGGUAUGGUAUUGGAUCAACAAACACAAGUCUAACCAACAUUAGUUAAGGAAAGAAAAGGUCAAAUCCCUAGGGGGUACUUUGUUUGCUAAUGGGUUAGUGCUUAUAUUGUUCAUUUUUUUCAUUUUUUUUACAUCGGAUGAUUGGUUGUUGAAUAUGAACAAUAAAUAUAUGUAUUUAUUGGA